Molecule: microRNA precursor, 168 nt
Filed under: Pelobates cultripes (western spadefoot toad)
Lineage: Eukaryota; Metazoa; Chordata; Amphibia; Anura; Pelobatidae
Source: RNAcentral
GCAGACAUAUUCCAGCCAAUCAGCAGCAGACCCUCCCUCCCAGAUCCUCCCACCUCCUGGACAGCAUCCAUUUUACAUUCAUUGUGAAGCUGCAUUCUUAGUGAGCUGUCCAGGAGGUGGGAGGGUCUGGGAGGGAGGGUCUGCUGCUGAUUGACUGGAAUGUGUCUG